AAGUCGUAACAAGGUUUCCGUAGGUGAACCUGCGGAAGGAUCAUUAACACGUAUCCAAACGUUUAACCCCCUGUGAACCUUCAAUGUGCUCGUCAAAGCGAGGCAAUCCCUGGUAAAUCAUCGCCGAACAGUUUUGAUUCUGGGACUUCCUCAAAGAGUGUACAUGUGCGCGAGGCAAGUGGCCUGGCAUUCCCAAACAGUUAGUGUCUAAAGUGUCAAAGGUUGUGUAAGGAUGACGCAGUAACGAUCGUUGGAGGCCGACACGGCCGACGACCGGGUCACCGGGCGCAAGCCCCUUUAUCACCACUUUAUGCAUGACAGACGUAGCACUUAAUUGUGCGCAAACAACAAUGGAUAUCUUGGUUCUC
RNAcentral lists this unclassified non-coding RNA (368 nucleotides) under fungal sp. RNAcentral's name for it is "partial internal transcribed spacer region". The stretch from base 1 to 46 matches the Rfam family "Eukaryotic small subunit ribosomal RNA", at positions 1786 to 1831 of the family's 1831-position model. Lineage: Eukaryota; Fungi. The record is from RNAcentral.